Long non-coding RNA from Lates calcarifer (barramundi perch), 928 nucleotides. RefSeq lists it as uncharacterized. The record is from RefSeq and is a predicted model, not a curated record. Lineage: Eukaryota; Metazoa; Chordata; Actinopteri; Centropomidae. The transcript has 3 exons.
AGGGCUGAUUCCGUUUAGCAGUUUCAGUUUCCAAGUGUUUGUGCUCUUAAACAAGAAAGCUUAAGUGUUUGCUGAUUUGAGGGUUAAGUCUGCACCCUUGUGCUCCUCAAUCAGCUCUAAUGGAUCCUCUGGCUCAGACUCAGCUCGGGGACUGAUUAUGAUACAAAAGACACACAGACACACACACACAACACAGGGCGGGGCUGGAGGCUGCGUCGUGAUGAGCUAAGAGCCCUCUCCUCACCAGGGCCCUUGUGCGUGUGCAUGUGUACAUGUGUAUGGUUCACAUGGGUCCUCUCCACCUCCCUCCCUCUGUGUCUUCAUUUGGAGAGUGAACAGGUCCCCAGGGCGUAAUGUGUGCUUUUGUAUGUGUGUGUAUGUGUGGCUGCUACAUUAUUCUCCCCACUGACUUUCUAUGGGAUGAAAAAACAUGACUGUCCAUCCAGCAUGCCCCUUCCUCCCUGCCUUUAGAAAAGAGAUGAGGGCUGAGAGGAACAUGUUGUAAAGCAGAGCAGCUCUCAUGUGAAUAAAAAACACACAAGUCAGAAUACAGAAAUAAAAAGAUACAGUUGUUGCUUUGGUAUUUUACAGUUGUGUUGGCUGAAUUUUCAGACUUUCCAUUGUCAAGACUCAAAAUGUUAUACACAAAAUCUCACAUAGCACACAAGGUUUAAACAUCAGUAGGGAAUACAUCAUGCAAUAAGUUAAUCAAAAAUCAUGACCAAAAUAUUUCUGUCAACUAGUAACUAAUUCACAUCUAAACUGAGUUUGCAGCAGUGAUUUCUUUAAGUAUAUAUGUAUAUAUGCAGAAGUCAGUAUUCAAAAUGAUGCAGAGUAAGAAUGACUUUUGUCAUCUGGAUAUGCUGUGUUACUGUUGAUAUAGAUAAAGAAGUUUAGAGUCUAACUUCCACAAUAAACCAAAGAUUCA